Long non-coding RNA from Pelmatolapia mariae (spotted tilapia), 314 nucleotides. RefSeq lists it as uncharacterized. The record is from RefSeq and is a predicted model, not a curated record. NCBI's taxonomy places the organism in Eukaryota, Metazoa, Chordata, Actinopteri, Cichliformes, Cichlidae. The transcript is spliced from 3 exons.
CCUGUCUGCAGAGGCAGUUUUGAAUUUAGGAGCGGCAAGAUGGCAGCGGCAAACCCUGGCGGUUCUCCGGGUUCGUGGCAACCACGGAUGGGAAAAUGUGGAGGUUGCACGGCUGAUGUUUACUGUUCGUGGCACAGGAAGAGGCAGUUUCAUUUCAGGAAUGAGUGUGCACAAUCAAAGAAUAGAGCGACUGUGGAGAGACCUCUGGGUGGCCGUUACAUGCAUUUACUACGAUGUUCUUCACAACCUUGAGGAAGAGGGCCUUCUUGACAUUUCAAAUGCUGCACACCUCUUUUGCUGCCAUUACAUCUUUC